RNAcentral lists this ribosomal RNA (190 nucleotides) under Buellia lindingeri. RNAcentral describes it as "5.8S ribosomal RNA". The stretch from base 3 to 156 matches the Rfam family "5.8S ribosomal RNA". Rfam says of the family: 5.8S ribosomal RNA (5.8S rRNA) is a component of the large subunit of the eukaryotic ribosome. It is transcribed by RNA polymerase I as part of the 45S precursor that also contains 18S and 28S rRNA. Functionally, it is thought that 5.8S rRNA may be involved in ribosome translocation. Lineage: Eukaryota; Fungi; Ascomycota; Lecanoromycetes; Caliciales; Caliciaceae. The record is from RNAcentral.
AAAACUUUCAACAACGGAUCUCUUGGUUCCGGCAUCGAUGAAGAACGCAGCGAAAUGCGAAAAGUAAUGUGAAUUGCAGAAUUCCGUGAAUCAUCGAAUCUUUGAACGCACAUUGCGCCCUUUGGUAUUCCGAAGGGCAUGCCUGUUCGAGCGUCAUUGCACCUCUCAAGCACUGCUUGGUAUUGGGCCC